ACGAACGCUGGCGGCGUGCUUAACACAUGCAAGUCGCACGGAAAGGCCCUGCUUUUGUGGGGUGCUCGAGUGGCGAACGGGUGAGUAACACGUGAGUAACCUGCCCUUGACUUUGGGAUAACUUCAGGAAACUGAGGCUAAUACCGGAUAGGAGCUCCUGCUGCAUGGUGGGGGUUGGAAAGUUUCGGCGGUUGGGGAUGGACUCGCGGCUUAUCAGCUUGUUGGUGGGGUAGUGGCUUACCAAGGCUUUGACGGGUAGCCGGCCUGAGAGGGUGACCGGCCACAUUGGGACUGAGAUACGGCCCAGACUCCUACGGGAGGCAGCAGUGGGGAAUAUUGCACAAUGGGCGGAAGCCUGAUGCAGCAACGCCGCGUGCGGGAUGACGGCCUUCGGGUUGUAAACCGCUUUCGCCUGUGACGAAGCGUGAGUGACGGUAAUGGGUAAAGAAGCACCGGCUAACUACGUG
RNAcentral lists this ribosomal RNA (467 nucleotides) under uncultured bacterium. RNAcentral's name for it is "partial 16S ribosomal RNA". It matches the Rfam family "Bacterial small subunit ribosomal RNA", at positions 29 to 507 of the family's 1533-position model. The record is from RNAcentral.